This 122-nucleotide ribosomal RNA is filed under the name uncultured eukaryote. RNAcentral describes it as "partial Bacterial small subunit ribosomal RNA". The record is from RNAcentral.
AGUACGUACUGUAGGUCUGCGGGUGCGUAGAGGGGGGCGUAACGUGCAGCUGUGGCAAUGCAUAGAUGCGAGAGGGAGCGCACCCGACCAACACCAGCACCAGCACUGGUAACGACACUGGU